Molecule: ribosomal RNA, 488 nt
Filed under: uncultured bacterium
Lineage: Bacteria
Description: partial 16S ribosomal RNA
Rfam family: Bacterial small subunit ribosomal RNA
Source: RNAcentral
GACGAACGCUGGCGGCGUGCUUAACACAUGCAAGUCGAACGAAAAUACCAAGCUUGCUUGGUUGAUUAGUGGCGAACGGGUGAGUAACACGUGAGUAACCUGCCCCUUACUUUCCUGGAUAACUGCUCGAAAGGGUAGCUAAUACGGGAUAUUCUGACCAGCCUGCAUGGGUUGGUUUGGAAAGGUUGUUUUUCUGGUAAGGGAUGGGCUCGCGGCCUAUCAGCUUGUUGGUGGGGUGAUGGCCUACCAAGGCUUUGACGGGUAGCCGGCCUGAGAGGGUGGACGGUCAGACGGGGACUGAGAUACGGCCCAGACUCGUACGGGAGGAAGCAGUGGGGAAGAUGGCACAAGGGGCGAAAGCCAGAUGCAGCGACGCCGCGUGAGGGAGGAAGGCCUUCGGGGUGUAAACCUCUUUCGUCAGGGAACAAGGCACUGCUUUUUUGGGGGUGUUGAGGGUACCUGGAUAAGAAGCGCCGGCUAACUACGUG